Molecule: ribosomal RNA, 524 nt
Filed under: uncultured bacterium
Lineage: Bacteria
Description: partial 16S ribosomal RNA
Rfam family: Bacterial small subunit ribosomal RNA
Source: RNAcentral
GACGAACGCUGGCGGCGUGCCUAAUACAUGCAAGUCGAGCGCAGGAAAUCGACGGAACCCUUCGGGGGGAAGUCGACGGAAUGAGCGGCGGACGGGUGAGUAACACGUAAAGAACCUGCCCUCAGGUCUGGGAUAACCACGAGAAAUCGGGGCUAAUACCGGAUGGGUCAUCGGACCGCAUGGUCCGAGGAUGAAAGGCGCUUCGGCGUCGCCUGGGGAUGGCUUUGCGGUGCAUUAGCUAGUUGGUGGGGUAAUGGCCCACCAAGGCGACGAGGCAUAGCCGACCUGAGAGGGUGAUCGGCCACACUGGGACUGAGACACGGCCCAGACUCCUACGGGAGGCAGCAGUAGGGAAUCUUCCUCAAUGGACGAAAGUCUGAUGGAGCAACGCCGCGUGAACGAUGAAGGCCUUCGGGUCGUAAAGUUCUGUUGUAAGGGAAGAACAAGUGCCGCAGGCAAUGGCGGCACCUUGACGGUACCUUGCGAGAAAGCCACGGCUAACUACGUGCCAGCCGCCGCAGUAA